This 460-nucleotide ribosomal RNA is filed under the name uncultured bacterium. Its description in RNAcentral is "partial 16S ribosomal RNA". It matches the Rfam family "Bacterial small subunit ribosomal RNA", at positions 338 to 795 of the family's 1533-position model. The record is from RNAcentral.
CCUACGGGAGACAGCAGUGAGGAAUAUUGGUCAAUGGACGAGAGCCUGAACCAGCCAAGUAGCGUGAAGGAUGACUGCCCUAUGGGUUGUAAACUUCUUUUAUAUGGGAAUAAAACAGGGUAUGCAUACCCUCUUGUAUGUACCAUAUGAAUAAGGAUCGGCUAACUCCGUGCCAGCAGCCGCGGUAAUACGGAGGAUCCGAGCGUUAUCCGGAUUUAUUGGGUUUAAAGGGAGCGUAGGUGGAUUGUUAAGUCAGUUGUGAAAGUUUGCGGCUCAACCGUAAAAUUGCAGUUGAAACUGGCAGUCUUGAGUACAGUAGAGGUGGGCGGAAUUCGUGGUGUAGCGGUGAAAUGCUUAGAUAUCACGAAGAACUCCGAUUGCGAAGGCAGCUCACUGGACUGCAACUGACACUGAUGCUCGAAAGUGUGGGUAUCAAACAGGAUUAGAUACCCCAGUAGUC